Molecule: microRNA precursor, 84 nt
Filed under: Bombyx mori (domestic silkworm)
Lineage: Eukaryota; Metazoa; Arthropoda; Insecta; Lepidoptera; Bombycidae
Description: mir-2807 microRNA precursor family
Rfam family: mir-2807 microRNA precursor family
Source: Rfam by way of RNAcentral
UAAAAGUUAUCUCGUAUGGAGUUGGAACGUUUGUCUAUGUUUGCCGCUAGAGGCGCUGUUCUAACUGCAUACAACUUUGAGUUA